GAGGUUCAGGCAAAGGUGGGAAAGGGCCAUCUGCUCUCCAAGCGCCAACCGCCCGUGUCAGCGGGGGCUCCCAGGCUCCUCUGCCUGGGUCCUGAGUCUCGAGACUCCUCUGCUGAAUGGUCCCAUCUGUGUCUGCUGCUCGUGCCGCUUGCGAGGACCUCAGAUUCAGACUGGGGCCAAGUGGAAGGAGAGAGUUGGGUGUAGAAGCUGGAAGCUAAGAGACGUGAGAGACAGCGACUCAAGAGGCUCUCGGAUGCCCAGCUGGGGGUGCGCUUAUCUGCUGGCCACACAGAAGGCUGUGCUCCUGACCAGCUUGGGGUCCCCUCACUUUGUAAUUAAUGGCAAGUGUGUGUCGGUGUUUGAUGAGGAGCAGCUCAAGCAGUGGACCCACUGGAGUCAGCCCUGCUGGCAUGACCCCAGCCAGAGACUGGCAUCCUUUCUAGAAGAGAUUAGAACAGAGGGCCAUCCCUGUGAAGACACCCAGAAGGAAGCCGCCCUCCAGCCAAGAGACGCCUGAGGCCACCAGGGCUGGGAGAGAGGAACAGGUCCUCCCCUGGAGCCUUCAGAGGGAGCGGGCCCUGCCCACACGUUGAUCUCAGACUUCUGGCGCCAGAACUGACAGAAUAAACUGCUUUGUUUGAGCCGCC
Long non-coding RNA from Phyllostomus hastatus (greater spear-nosed bat), 647 nucleotides. RefSeq lists it as uncharacterized. The record is from RefSeq and is a predicted model, not a curated record. The transcript is spliced from 4 exons. Lineage: Eukaryota; Metazoa; Chordata; Mammalia; Chiroptera; Phyllostomidae.